UACGUAGGGUGCGAGCGUUAUCCGGAAUUAUUGGGCGUAAAGGGCUCGUAGGCGGUUUGUCGCGUCGGGAGUGAAAACCCAGGGCUUAACCCUGGGCUGGCUUCCGAUACGGGCAGACUAGAGGUAUGCAGGGGAGAACGGAAUUCCUGGUGUAGCGGUGAAAUGCGCAGAUAUCAGGAGGAACACCGGUGGCGAAGGCGGUUCUCUGGGCAUUACCUGACGCUGAGGAGCGAAAGUGUGGGGAGCGAACAGG
Molecule: ribosomal RNA, 253 nt
Filed under: uncultured bacterium
Lineage: Bacteria
Description: partial 16S ribosomal RNA
Rfam family: Bacterial small subunit ribosomal RNA
Source: RNAcentral